UAUCCCCUUCCCUCUCUGCUUUCCUAGCAAACCAAUCGUCAUACUCCUUUUGUGCCUUUCUGAGCAAGUCUGGGGUAUGUUGGGUCGUGUAAGAAGGACGAGAUGCUUCUCCAGAUAGCUCGGGAUUGGCAGUGACUGGAGAAAACAGUGGGUUUGGAACGCUGACGUCGGGCUGAUUACGCAUCAUAGAUUCCGAGGCACGUGAAGGAUGAAGCCGAGGACGGACACCUAUAUGAACAGACGUAACGCCAGCUGUUACAGCUCGGAUUGGAGUACGGGGCAUACUAGGGGGGAAGGCUGCUGCUGUCAGAUUAAAGAUAGAUUAUUAAUAACGUCGACAAGUCCUCACCAACUUCUCUUCCUGGCUCUCGUCGGCGCCUAUCCUCUUCCUCUCUGGCAUUGGACUUUUCCUGUCCAAAACUUUCCCACUCACCAUCAUUGUGUCUUUGCUCAAUAAUUUCUCUGCCAGCCUCAGGCUUUCGGGCCGAAGGACCAAAAUUAAGUUUUUGAGCAUCUUUGACCAGCUCGGCUUCCCAUUCGUCAGCUAGAGUGGUCUCCGUGUCAGCCGGUGAUGGCACAGCUUUCCUAGUGACAAGAUUCGUCCGUGUCGUGGCUUGGAUGCUUUUCCUUUGGGCUGGAUGCUGACCAACUUGCGGUGCAGAUGCAGAUUUAACUGCAGGAGGCCGGCUAGAUGGUGAUUUGGCCGGUCUAGGUGGUUUGGGAGUCUGACCAAAAGCUACAUUCUCCUUCACAUUAACUUGUGAAACCCGCUGACGAGGCAUACGAGCCAACUCUGCAGAAUGUUGUUGGGCUACUAUGCGUGCGGCGGAAUUGGUGGUAACUUCCUGUCUGAGAGAGGAUUUCGAAGCUGAAGCUCGAAUGGCUGGGUGUCGACUCGGACUUGGCGGUGUAGAAGGACUCGGGGAAGGACCUUUGGAUCUGCCACGAAUAGGCGAGUCUGUGAGGCCUAAGGCGGACAUGGACAGACUCGACAAGGUGGAGGGGUAGGUGAUGGACGAGGAGAUGGACAGGAGGCUGUCUCUAUUAGCCAUUGAAGGUGCACUGAGGGUUGUAAGCGAGAAAAAAGACAAAGAAGAGGGAAAAAGUAGAUGUUUGGAGGACUUACCAUACAUCCUUUAGGACGGUGAAUCUGCGUGCAGUAGAAUAUAAACCAACAUGGCGCUCGCAAAAACAUGAACCGACGAGGAAUUCAUUCAACAGCAGCAUGCACUGAAAUGAUAUUAUCCAUUUUUAUCAGUUGCAUGGUUGUUGCACGCACAAUUGGUC
This 1287-nucleotide small RNA is filed under the name Cryptococcus neoformans H99. RNAcentral's name for it is "Cryptococcus neoformans var. grubii H99 hypothetical RNA". The record is from RNAcentral. Lineage: Eukaryota; Fungi; Basidiomycota; Tremellomycetes; Tremellales; Cryptococcaceae.